RNAcentral lists this ribosomal RNA (1359 nucleotides) under Triticum aestivum (bread wheat). Its description in RNAcentral is "partial small subunit ribosomal RNA". Lineage: Eukaryota; Viridiplantae; Streptophyta; Magnoliopsida; Poales; Poaceae. The record is from RNAcentral.
AUGGCUACGGAAAAUGGCAUCGGACCAUUCGAAUUGGUCAAACCUCCAUGGGAAAUUCAGUCAGGAAACGAUGCAACACAUGCUCACAAUUGGCUUAUUAGGGAAGAAAAAGGAUGCAAUGCAGCCAAGAAGAAGAAGAUGGCGGAGACUAGCGCCAUGGGAGGAAAGAGAGGUCAGUACAAGGAGAUGGAGACAGUGGAGCAGAUCAUGGAUCGGUUGGAGCCGACGGACAAAGAGAGAGCAAAGUUAGUCAUUGAUGAUGAGGAAGAGAAGACGGAGGAGGAGAUUUAUGCACUAAUCGGCAAGGUACUACAUCGAAGGGUACUCCAUGUGAACACCAUCGGAGAUGCGCGACGCCCAGCGUGGGGCAAUCCGAAGGGGUUGAGUUUUAGGCCGUCGGGGGAGAACAUGUUUGUGGCUAGUUUCAUGAACAAGAGAGACAGCGAUCGGAUCUUGGAGGGGGGUCCAUGGAUGGUUGGAAAGCACUGUGUGGUGUUGGAGAGGUUUAACAUCAGAUCACGGCCCUCUGAACUCAAGUUUGAUAGGAUCAAGAUUUGGGCGCGGGUGGUUAACCUCCCAUUCAAUCUACUGUCCCCGCCAUGGCCGAAGCACAUUGCAGCCAUGGUAGGGGAUGUGGUUACCCUGGAUGCUGAUGGGAAGGGCUAUGCUUUUGGCGAUUGUCUCAGAUUCAGAGUAUGGAUUAAGGUGGAUGAGCCUUUGAUGCGUUGGGUGCAACUGGAGAAAGCCAAGAAGGAGACUGAGUUUUUUGACAUCCAAUAUGAGAACUUGCCCUAUUUUUGCUUUUCCUGUGGUAAACUGGGGCAUGCAGAGUUAGUAUGCCCUACUUCGGCAGGGAGAGAUGAAUAUGGUAGGGCCCCAUACUGUGAGGCCUUAAGGUUUUUGGAAAACAAGAACAAGAGUUGGGGCAGUGCACCAACCUAUAAAUACAAGGCCACCGGAGAUGAAGGGAGGCACAAUGCGCCAGAAGAUAUGCAAGAUGAAGUUGAACCGGGUGAUGAGGUGACUUCACCAGAGAAGACAGGAAGGGGCAAGGUGAGGAAUGCGAUCUACCAAUUUAAUGCUAGAGGCAGAGGUUCGAAUGGAAGGGGUGGGCGCACGAGACGUGGCCACAAUGGUGUGUAUCGGCGUGUUGAUAUGAAUAGUGCGACUGCGCAUAGUGGAGAAUACAAUAAGUUUCUUCUACAAGAUUCUGAGACUGUGUUAAGGAAGCGGCAGAGUGAGGGGCACGAGUUGUCGGACUCAAGAGAAGAUAGCCGUGAUUCCAAGAAAAAUAAGGCAGAGGAAGAGGCUGCAAAAGUUCUCGCGGAGGCUGAUAAUCAGCCCCGCGGACCGCAAUGA